RNAcentral lists this unclassified non-coding RNA (2874 nucleotides) under Leishmania donovani. RNAcentral's name for it is "gene:LdHU3.32.4980(CDS-product:hypothetical_prote in_conserved)". The record is from RNAcentral. Lineage: Eukaryota; Euglenozoa; Kinetoplastea; Trypanosomatida; Trypanosomatidae.
CUCCGCACGCGCGCAUUCACGAGGGACCAACACGCGAAGGAAGGAAGGGGCACCCGUCUCGUCUUCUCCCUAUCACUCAUACAUCUGCCCGCGCAGGUUUGGCGCGCGACGCUGCCGCUGUGCACGCGCUGCCCUGCUCUGCCUGCCGAUCACUGCUGCUUCGCGCCCCUGCUCCAUUUUCUUCCUUGGCGUGUGCGUGUGCGUGCCUCUCGGCGUUUUCCGUGGCUUGCUUGUCUCGACGUUUGACGUCUCUCUCUAUCGUUGACGGUGAAGUGGUCUGUCGCAGUACAUAGAGCAUGCACCGCAGUGCCCUCUUCCUGGUUGGUGAGUUGCCCAAGGCGCUCUUUUCGAAAGCCUCACCGACGGGCGCGAAGCCGUUGCCAUCCGCUGGUAGCUCGUUGAGCUCGCCUCCGUCGCCACGCAGCGGCACCGCCCUUGCGAAAGGGAAGCGUGUCGGCCGCAUCAUUGAAUGGGACCCUUUUGAGCGGCACGGCGUCAUCGCCGAGAGUGAGGGUGGCCGCCGCUACAGAAUCGCAAACACGCGUGCCUUUGAGACGGUGCUGCCGACGAUGCUGCGCACGCUUGAGGGUGCCGCUGUGGAGUUUGACGUCGACCGGCAAGCCUCUGCCGAUCGAGUGAUCAUCCGCAAUCGACUCACCCCCAUCACAGCGGAGAGCUACCGGCAGAGGCCCCCCGUCGACUUCUUGAGCCCUGCAAUGCUGAGUUGGGCAGGCCCACAUGCCGCGGCAUCGAAGCAAGAUGAGACGAGCAGCGACAAUACAGAGAGAGAGAGCGGUUUCAGUGAUGGGGGCAACACGGCAGUUGAGGCCGAGGAGCUGUUCGCAAAGAACAUCAUUAUAGACGUCAGCAGCAUACCAGCCACCCAGAUUGCGCGCUGGAGCGGCCCCUUGUCGGAGGAGGCAGUGAUACAGCCCACCAAGAACCUCAAAGACAUGCGCAGCAGCCGCCUCUUCGACGCGGAGAUAAACGCCUAUCUGCGCCUGAAGCAGCAGCUCGGAAAUACCGCCGAUGCGCAGCGUGUGCUGGCGGAGCAGCGCGAACGGGAUGCCAAGGGUGCGGUGCGGCGGGACGUGAUCGCGGAGAAGACGGAGGGCAUCAUCUUGGCCUGGUCCGGCAUCCACCGCAGCGGGCUCAUUCGCGAAGGGGUACAGCAUCGCGGAGAUGAGGCCUCAUCAGACGGCACGUUGCCGGCCACCCUCGACAACGGGGACGGCGCGGCCGAGGAGACUCUUUGCAUUAUUCGAAACGCGCAUGCGUUUCAGAGCGCGCUGCCCACGUCGCAGAGCCUGCAGCACCGGCGUGUUGCCUUCACAAAGGUGUCGUAUUCAGCGCAACCGCACCGCUACUACGCGGAGAACAUCAUUGUGGUCGGCGAUGUGCGCUACAACGCAGCCGUGCCGUCUUUGGAGGAGGCGCGCACUAUCAAGGAGCGGGAGAAGGCUGCUGCCAUGCAGCACCGCCAUUUUGGAGCGCUUUUCAUGGAGGACGAUGACGGUCAUGGCGCGGGAAGCGGUGAGCGACAGCCAAGCAAUAGCCAGCAAUCCGCUGCAGCUAGGCCGGCUGAGGAGGCAUCUACGCGCGCAGCCGCCUCUGCGCUCUUGAGGGACGAUGAGGCGCAGGUGGACCCUAACAAGGUGCUCUACGGUGUCAUUGUGCGCUGGAGCGGCGGCCAGGGUGUCAUUGAGGGUGGAGAUGGCCGUCACUUCUACCUUCGCUCCGCCGCAGAUUUCGAGCAGCUGGUGGACAAGAGCUCGCAUCACCUGCGCGGCGCCGUUGUUCAGUUCAAGCAAGAUGUGGCGAGCCCCCGCUACGCGUGCCAGGUGGAUAUACUCAGCACCGCCGCGACGGCCAUGAGCGAGUUAAAGCCGCUGCUGGAGAAGACGGCGUUUAACGUGUUCGCCGCCAACGGUGCAGAGCCAGCGGCAAACGUCGAGGCAGCGGCCGCAGCGUCAAAGGCAGUACCGGAAGGGGUGGAAUGGACGCAUGGCACGCUCCUCUCGUGGUCAUCCAUGGAGGGCCAGGGCAUCAUCAUCGGCGAAGCAGAUCACGAGGCGCGCUACGUGCUGCGAGACCCGGAAGAAAACGUUGUCGACUACACCGCAAAGCAGGCGCUGCUCAGAAAAGGGCGGCGAGUAAAGUUCACGCCAUUUGGUAGCACGGGGAGAUUGGCGUGCAAUGUAGUGUUGCUGGAGGCAGAGGUCGACGAGGAGGCACUGGCGGAGGAGGUGCUGCGGCCGAAAGAGCCGCAGCUGUCGAUGGAUGGAAACAAGAAUGAGGCGGUCCCGUCCCCCAUGAGCACGAGCUACUGGCUGAACCGGAUGGAUAAGGCUGGCUAUGACACAAAGGAGGUGAAGAAGUUGCAAGACCGCGCGCUGCGGCUGGACGAGGACGAGGACGACGACGGCGCCGAGGGUGGCAAGUUCCUCGAUAGCGAGGAGCUCCUGAAGAAGGAUCACUGGUGGAGUGACCCGCGCAAGAAUGUGCGGUUCCCGAACAGCGACAUGACGGCCGGCCACCUCGCCCUCAUCGGCCCCGCUUCCAUGAUGAACGUUGCAAUGAAGACAAAAGACCCCAAGAAGCUGGACAAGAUGCUGAAGAAGUACCAGUCGCGGCUGACAGAGGAGCAGAAGGAGUACGCGUGGAGGCAAGCGAAGGAGAUGGCGCCCAAGUAUGAGGAGUGCGUCCGCAAGGGCCGAGAGCGCAACGAAGAGCCCACCUUCUACUUCUUCUAGUUACCUGCGUGGCUUUUCUUGCCUGUGUCUGUGCGCCGCAGUGGCGCCGUCGCUUGUAUUGUGCCUCGCAGAAGCGAUGCUCCGCUGAUUUCCUGCACAUCUGCGCCACUUGGCGCUUCUC